RNAcentral lists this unclassified non-coding RNA (1087 nucleotides) under Hevea brasiliensis (rubber tree). Lineage: Eukaryota; Viridiplantae; Streptophyta; Magnoliopsida; Malpighiales; Euphorbiaceae. The record is from RNAcentral.
AUUUCGAGGUGCCACCUCGUCCUCAGAAGAAUCACUUUCUUCAGCCCCUUUAUCAGAUUGUAGCCACCGCUUUGAUCUUCAUUAUCUGUGCCAUCACUAUUGUCCGUGUCAAUAGAACCCUGCAAUAACUACUCUUAAUAAUAUAGAAGAACAGCAAGACACAGAGACAGAAGAGUCUCUCAGGCAAAACAUGAGAUUUAAAAAUAUCCAAGGUAAUGAGGCUUUCUUCCCUCUGAUAGUUGAAAACACCAAAAAAGUAUCAAUUAAAUUGUUAGACGCCCUCAAUCCUUUUGAUGAGACUGCAACUUCCAACAAAAAAUUAUUGUAAUCUUAUUAAUUAUUUUGCUCUCAUUUCUUUUGUUCCAAGAAGACAUCAUAGAUAGCAUCAAAAUUUGCAUUUUUCUGAUAUUUUUUGCAGGCGGCCAUGAUCAGAAUGCCAACGUGCACAAAAUUAAUGAGUCCUACAUAGAAACAAGAAACAAUGAAGCAAAAUGCAAUGGCAUAAAUAAAAGAUCCUUAGGCUACAAAAAUAGAAUUGAGAGAGUCAUGAAGUUAUAUUUUGAGAUUAACCUUUCCUAUCAUCAAAAUUAGGAGAAAAAUAUGUAUUUACAUUCUCUUCUCCCUUCAAUUCCUCAGCAAUAGAACAGGGUACUAGCAACCCAAUAACCAAAACAGCUAAAAGUAGAAAUUACACCGGGAAACAGGUACAUACGAAUACCCAAAUGGCUCAAAUGUGGCGUUUGUUCCUUAGUAAUAAAAUUGGGACGUAGAAAUAAUCGAAGAAGCUACCUGGAUCAGAAUCAGUAGCUCACUCUUCUUCUUCUAAUUUCUAAUGGUGUUGAGGUUCUUCGCAGUUAUUAAGCUUCUCCUUCUUGGAAUGGUUUGUUACGAUCUUUCCUUUGCCUUCAGUAUUGUCAUUCUUCUGCUUCGCUGAUUCGACCUGAAGAGACUCCUUCUUGUUCUUCUCCACCCUCAUUUUCCCUCUCUCUCUCUGAAAGAUUUCUCUCAAAGGGAAGUUGGGUGGAGAGAGAAGGCUGCAAAGCCUGGUUGAGGGGCUUCGGGUUUUUCAGAGGCUUAGGAACGGAAU